RNAcentral lists this ribosomal RNA (631 nucleotides) under uncultured organism. RNAcentral's name for it is "SSU rRNA". It matches the Rfam family "Bacterial small subunit ribosomal RNA", at positions 25 to 650 of the family's 1533-position model. The record is from RNAcentral.
UUGACGAACGCUGGCGGCAGGCUUAACACAUGCAAGUCGAGCGGGCGAGGUUGCUUCGGUAACUGAGCUAGCGGCGGACGGGUGAGUAAUGCUUAGGAAUCUGCCUAUUAGUGGGGGACAACAUUCCGAAAGGAAUGCUAAUACCGCAUACGCCCUACGGGGGAAAGCAGGGGAUCUUCGGACCUUGCGCUAAUAGAUGAGCCUAAGUCAGAUUAGCUAGUUGGUAGGGUAAAGGCCUACCAAGGCGACGAUCUGUAGCGGGUCUGAGAGGAUGAUCCGCCACACUGGGACUGAGACACGGCCCAGACUCCUACGGGAGGCAGCAGUGGGGAAUAUUGGACAAUGGGCGAAAGCCUGAUCCAGCCAUGCCGCGUGUGUGAAGAAGGCCUUUUGGUUGUAAAGCACUUUAAGCGAGGAGGAGGCUACUUGGAUUAAUACUCUAGGAUAGUGGACGUUACUCGCAGAAUAAGCACCGGCUAACUCUGUGCCAGCAGCCGCGGUAAUACAGAGGGUGCGAGCGUUAAUCGGAUUUACUGGGCGUACAGCGUGCGUAGGCGGCUUCUUAAGUCUGAUGUGAAAUCCCUGAGCUUAACUUAGGAAUUGCAUUCCGAUACUGGGAAGCUAGAGUAUG